UGGGUAACCUGCCUUAUAGUGGGGGAGUAGCCUUUCGAAAGGAAGAUUAAUACGCAUAAGAUUGUAGUAUCGCAUGAUAUAGCAAUUAAAGGAGCAAUUCGCUAUAAGAUGGACCCGCGUCGCAUUAGCUAGUUGGUGAGGUAAUGGCUCACCAAGGCGACGAUGCGUAGCCGACCUGAGAGGGUGAUUGGCCACAUUGGGACUGAGACACGGCCCAGACUCCUACGGGAGGCAGCAUG
This 239-nucleotide ribosomal RNA is filed under the name uncultured bacterium. RNAcentral's name for it is "partial 16S ribosomal RNA". It matches the Rfam family "Bacterial small subunit ribosomal RNA", at positions 118 to 353 of the family's 1533-position model. The record is from RNAcentral.